CAAAUGAACCCAGUUAUUUCCCAAAUGAGUUUAUAGAUGUUUAUUUCUUAAAUCAGGACCCAGUAAGAUUUACAUGUUGCAUUUUUUUCAGUCUCUGGUAGUCUAGAACAGCUACACAUGGUGAGGUUUGGGACCGCAGCAUCAGAGCACCUGGAACCUGUUAGAGAUGCAGCUUCUUUGGCCCUGCUCCUGACCUCCUGUCUCCAAACUCUGGGGGUGGAGCCUGGGAAUCUGUGUUUCAGCCAGCCAUGUGAUUCUUAUUCAUGCACAAGUUUGCGAAUCACUGAUAGACCAGGCCAACUUUUCUUCCCCCUAGUUCCUUGUCCUUCACCAUCUCCUGGAGAUUGCUCAAACUCGUGUCCAUCAAGUCGGUGAUGCCAUCCAACCAUCUUGUCCUCUGUUGUCCCCUUCUCUUCCUUCAAUCUUUCCCAGCAUCAGGGUCUUUUCCAUUCAGUCGGCUCUUCGCAUCAGGUGGCCAAAGUAUUAGAGUGUAGGAAUUUAGAACCAGAAAAUUGGCUUCCAUGUGUUGUGCUGUGCUUAGUCGCUGAGUUGUGUCCAACUCUUUGCAACCACACAGACUGUGAAGUAGUACUUAAAAAAAGAAAAAGAAAAACAGGGAAGAAUACAAAGGCAGUUAUCCCCUGAUCCAUGAAGAAGAAACAAACAUGGUUUCGUUGCAACGGGAGAAGGAUCCAUUCAGGACCAACCAAACACAACGCAGACACCAACGAGGACAAGACUGAGAGGAAGGGGAAUCGCACUCUUUCCAGCUGGGAAUCACUCUGAGAUGACACCGGUUGGGGGGACUGGCAGCCAUCCUACACCACCGGCAGAGAGGAAGAAGUCCCGGAAUAAGUUGACACAGAAGGGGCCGAGCUGGUGGAGAGGGAAAUCCAUCGCGGUGUUGAAAUUGAAGCCUCUGCAUAAGCUGCCCCUGAUUUGUGCUUCACUUUUACAAAUCAGUUUCAAAUCAGCCAGUCUGUGUUGGUUUAUCUAUUCCAGCUGCUCUGCUGCUGCUGCUGCUGCUGCUUAGCCACUUCAGUCGUGUCCAACUCUGUGGGACCCUGUGGACUGUAGGCCUUGCCAGGCUCCUCUGUCCAUGGGAUUCUCCAUGCAAGAAUACUGGAGUGGGUUGCCAUUCCCUUCUCCAGGGCAUCUUCCCAACCCAGGGAUCGAACCCGGGUCUCCUGCAUUGCAGGCAGAUUCUUUACCACUAAGCCACCAGGGAAGCCCCGUUUACCUGUUAUUCGGGAUCAAAUGGAUCCUGAUGAACACUCAGGUAAUCUCAGCAUGAGAAGUGAGAAUCUAGACCCAGAAGCGCUCAGUGGCUUCUAGAAAUCAAUGUUACCUAUGUUGAUCCGUGGCUGCUGUGGGACAGGACCCCAUAGAUACUGGUGGUUUCAGGGGUCUUACAGAUUAGGUUUCUCUGCCUACCAGUCAGAGCUCUCUCUCUCUCUCUCUUUAAACUUAUUUGGCUGCAUUGGGUCUUAUUUGUAGCACACCGACUUAGUUGCCCUGUGGCAUAUGGAAUCUUCCCGGGCCAAAGAUAGAACCUGUGCCCCUUGCAUUGCAAGGUGGGUUCUUUACCAUUGGGCCCGCAGGGAAGUCCAGUUAGAGCUCUUUG
This is a long non-coding RNA of Bos taurus (domestic cattle), 1624 nucleotides long. NCBI's taxonomy places the organism in Eukaryota, Metazoa, Chordata, Mammalia, Artiodactyla, Bovidae. The record is from Ensembl.